Molecule: long non-coding RNA, 694 nt
Filed under: Heterocephalus glaber (naked mole-rat)
Lineage: Eukaryota; Metazoa; Chordata; Mammalia; Rodentia; Bathyergidae
Description: lncRNA (ENSHGLG00000041793.1)
Source: RNAcentral
UGGAUGUAGGGAGGGAGGUUGUUGGAUGUGCCUCCCCUGCAGGUAUUUGAAUACAAGACAAUGAAGGCCUGAAACAAAGGACUGGGAUUUGGGGCAAGGACAUGUUUGUUGGCAACUAGUGGAGUUCUUCAAAGGGACUGUAAUGGCUGAGCCCAAAGCAGAGAGAUACACUUGUCUACCAUUUGGCACCUCAAGUUUAUAACCUUGUGGGAUGAAUACACUAGCAUGUGCCUGUGAGCCCCAUCCUUGAGGGGCAAAGGAGAGCUCAGUAUCUUAUUUCUUUAUUAUCGUCAUCCAGACUAAUUUCAAGAUAUCCAAGCUCUUCUUGCAACAUAACCCUCAUGUCUUGCUAUAUCACUAACUAAAAGACCCAAGUGUCAACUAUAAAGAUUUUUGUUGCUUGAGCUCAUUUCUGAAAAUGUACAGUAAGCCAGUAUCUUAUCCUUGAUAAAAAUAUUCCCUCCAUGAUGGGAACAUUAAUUUUAUGUGGCAAUUUGGCUGGGCCAUAGUUCCAGAUAUGUAGCUAAACAUUAUUCUGGACAUUUCUGUGAAUAAAUUUCUAUAUGAAGUCAAUAUUUAAAUCAAUGGAUUUUUAGUAAAAUAGAUUGCCUUCCAAAACAUGAGGGAGCCUUCUCCAAUCAGUCAAAGCCCUGAACAGAAUUUUAAAAAAGGCUGACGUCCCCAAGCAAGAGGG